RNAcentral lists this ribosomal RNA (447 nucleotides) under uncultured Rhodococcus sp. RNAcentral's name for it is "bacterial SSU rRNA". It matches the Rfam family "Bacterial small subunit ribosomal RNA", at positions 337 to 796 of the family's 1533-position model. The record is from RNAcentral. Lineage: Bacteria; Bacillati; Actinomycetota; Actinomycetes; Mycobacteriales; Nocardiaceae.
UCCUACGGGAGGCUGCAGUGGGGAAUAUUGCACAAUGGGCGCAAGCCUGAUGCAGCGACGCCGCGUGCGGGAUGACGGCCUUCGGGUUGUAAACCGCUUUCAGCAGGGAAGAAGCGCAAGUGACGGUACCUGCAGAAGAAGCGCCGGCUAACUACGUGCCAGCAGCCGCGGUAAUACGUAGGGCGCAAGCGUUGUCCGGAAUUAUUGGGCGUAAAGAGCUCGUAGGCGGUCUGUCGCGUCUGCUGUGAAAUCCUCGGGCUCAACCUGGGGCUUGCAGUGGGUACGGGCAGACUAGAGUGCGGUAGGGGUGACUGGAAUUCCUGGUGUAGCGGUGGAAUGCGCAGAUAUCAGGAGGAACACCGAUGGCGAAGGCAGGUCACUGGGCCGCAACUGACGCUGAGGAGCGAAAGCAUGGGGAGCGAACAGGAUUAGAUACCCUGGUAGUCC